Suricata suricatta (meerkat) is the source of this 1407-nucleotide long non-coding RNA. RefSeq lists it as uncharacterized. The transcript has 2 exons. The record is from RefSeq and is a predicted model, not a curated record. Lineage: Eukaryota; Metazoa; Chordata; Mammalia; Carnivora; Herpestidae.
CUUGUUGGUCAAGUUCCAGACCUACAAUUGGGAAGUCUCCUCUGUUCCUUUCCUCUCCAGAGCUGGGCUACCCCCCGCCAAACAGGAGGCCCUCUUGCCCAACACUCUCCUUCUGACCUGGCUCUGAACGUGAAGACACAGGUCUUUCCGUCCCAGGCUCUAGAAAAAGUACAGUAUCACCUCUGGUCCUUCUUUUCACCUUUUCUUCUUGAGAACAAACACAGCCCCUUCUUGGUUGGUGAUAACAGGAGACGGUGACGUUCGCCAAGCACUUUCUGUGGACCAGGUACAAUUUUGGGCCUCGGUAUGUAUAAACGCGCUUCCUUCUCUCACCCAUAUGAGAGGUGUACUAGGACCCUCCGCAUUUCACAGGCAGAAACACGAGGCGCACAGGUUAGGGACUUCCCCAGGGUCUCCUCGCCAUCAGAUUGCAGAGCCAGGACAUGUGCCCCUGUGGGAGACCAGCGCUGCCUCUACGCGGGGCUGUUGGGAGCUGCUCCCGUGGAAGACCCCCCACAGCUUACAGCGCCUCGCCCCUUAGAUCCCCCUUUCCAGAGUGACCUUUGGGAACUGCACAUUGAACAAAUAAGAUAAGUGCACGCCGAUGCAGCACCCCAAAAACUCCCACAAGGAUGCCCCGGAGUAGCGGGGAGUAAUGGGUGCUGCUCCACUUUGUCCUGGCAAUGGCUGUAUACCUCCCACACAACUCAAGGGAGGGCGUUGCUUCCUCUGACUGCGGACUGUGACUCUGAGCUGGCUCCUGAGCCCUGGGCUGGCUCCGCCCCUCCCCCCGCUGUGUGAACCGGAGAGCUGGCCAAAGUCUGGAGAAAGCCCGUUGGUUAGAAAAUUAGAUCUUUUCCUGGUGUGUGUUUUUUGUUUUCCGAUUUAUGGUCUGUUUUUUCUCUUGUCCAGGUACACUUCUGUGCUUUCACAGACUCUCUUUCUCCCUUUAUCUCUCCCUAGAAGUGGACCCCUCCCCUCCGUACCUGUGCCACCUGUUUUAUCUCUCCCACUUGGCAGUCACGCACCCGUGGCUCUCAGGUUCCCCCUGUGGGUGCCUGGAGACAGCUCUCACUCUGCAGCCCACACUCUUGGAACUCCACGUCCUCUGGCCUCAACACUGCUGUGCUUGAAGAAUGGGGGAACUUCAGCUGCAGAUGAGAUGAAAAGGAACAGAAAAUGAGAGAAGAUUAAGUUUGCAAAAAUGAAAAUGAAAACUAAAGAAUUCUCAUCUUACAAACAUUAGGAUAACUCCUAUGAAACACAGCAAGAGACAAUGACAAAUGUUGAGGAUGUGGAGAAAUUGGAACACUUGGUACUUUUGGUGAUACUGUUACACUGCUGUAGAAAUCCACAAGGAGUAUUCUCAAAAUUUAUAAUACAGCUACAUAAAAAUUUUUAAAUCAC